RNAcentral lists this long non-coding RNA (602 nucleotides) under Olea europaea (common olive). Its description in RNAcentral is "long non-coding RNA (OEUR_LNC012344)". The record is from RNAcentral. Lineage: Eukaryota; Viridiplantae; Streptophyta; Magnoliopsida; Lamiales; Oleaceae.
UUCAGCACCACCCAAUCUUUGACUAUUGAAUACAUCUCCAUAGAAUAGUUCUCUAGGGGAUAACCUGAAGAUUUUAUCUUCCUGUUAUACUUCUGUUUUGUGGACAGUUCAGGUUGAGUUUGUUCAGGUCUUGCUUUCUUGCCACGAAUUUUAUUGCUAGAGCCAAGAGUAUCUUCCAACCAACAAUAGCUUCCAUAUUUGACUCCCAAUCACCCAUUCUAUUCAACAUGUUUUUGUUCUGUUCAUCAAUGUAAGAUCCAUUGAAGUUAAAUUGUUGUCCACAAAAGAUUCCAUGUGAGAUUGCAUUCCCUGAUAGUGAUCUUCCUGCCAUUUUUGUUGUUGCUGAAAGAAUUCUUUCUGAUUAUCAAGAAUUGCUUGAUAAUGAGUUUCUUGUGUUCUUGAUUGUUCAACCAUGUGUAUACCAAGAAAAUUCUGGCAAAAAGCUUGAGUAUCCACAUAUAAUGCAGAUUACAUACCAGAUUGGUAGGCAGAGUGCAGCUCUUGAUAUUGAUGUUGGUGCCAUUUUUGCUGUUCUUCAAAUAUUUGUUUCUGGUUUUCAAGAUAUUCAGCCUAUUGCUUUCUUGAUUCUUCAACCAUGUAUG